UUUGGAGGAAAGGUAGGGGAUCGCAAGACCUUGCGCUUUUGGAGCGGCCGAUGUCUGAUUAGCUAGUUGGUGAGGUAAAGGCUUACCAAGGCUUCGAUCAGUAGCUGGUCUGAGAGGACGACCAGCCACACUGGGACUGAGACACGGCCCAGACUCCUACGGGAGGCAGCAGUGGGGAAUUUUGGACAAUGGGGGAAACCCUGAUCCAGCCAUGCCGCGUGAGUGAAGAAGGCCUUCGGGUUGUAAAGCUCUUUCAGCCGGAACGAAAAGGUUACGGUUAAUACCCGUGACUAAUGACGGUACCGGAAGAAGAAGCACCGGCUAACUACGUGCCAGCAGCCGCGGUAAUACGUAGGGUGCGAGCGUUAAUCGGAAUUACUGGGCGUAAAGCGUGCGCAGGCGGUUUUGUAUGUCGAGUUUGUAGUCCACCCCCGAAGAAAAUGU
RNAcentral lists this ribosomal RNA (444 nucleotides) under uncultured bacterium. RNAcentral describes it as "bacterial SSU rRNA". It matches the Rfam family "Bacterial small subunit ribosomal RNA", at positions 185 to 627 of the family's 1533-position model. The record is from RNAcentral.